RNAcentral lists this ribosomal RNA (589 nucleotides) under uncultured bacterium. RNAcentral describes it as "partial 16S ribosomal RNA". It matches the Rfam family "Bacterial small subunit ribosomal RNA", at positions 355 to 1375 of the family's 1533-position model. The record is from RNAcentral.
UGGGGAAUUUUGGACAAUGGGCGAAAGCCUGAUCCAGCAAUGCCGCGUGUGUGAAGAAGGCCUUCGGGUUGUAAAGCACUUUUGUCCGGAAAGAAAUCCUUGGCUCUAAUACAGUCGGGGGAUGACGGUACCGGAAGAAUAAGCACCGGCUAACUACGUGCCAGCAGCCGCGGUAAUACGUAGGGUGCAAGCGUUAAUCGGAAUUACUGGGCGUAAAGCGUGCGCAGGCGGUUUGCUAAGACCGAUGUGAAAUCCCCGGGCUCAACCUGGGAACUGCAUUGGUGACUGGCAGGCUAGAGUAUGGCAGAGGGGGGUAGAAUUCCACGUGUAGCAGUGAAAUGCGUAGAGAUGUGGAGGAAUACCGAUGGCGAAGGCAGCCCCCUGGGCCAAUACUGACGCUCAUGCACGAAAGCGUGGGGAGCAAAACAGGAUUAGAUACCCUGGUAGUCCACGCCCUAAAACGAUGUCAACUAGUUGUUGGGGAUUCAUUUCCUUAGUAACGUAGCUAACGCGUGAAGUUGACCGCCUGGGGGAGUACGGUCGCAAGAUUAAAAACUCAAAUGAAUUGACGGGGUCAUAGCUGUUUCCU